RNAcentral lists this ribosomal RNA (253 nucleotides) under uncultured bacterium. RNAcentral describes it as "partial 16S ribosomal RNA". It matches the Rfam family "Bacterial small subunit ribosomal RNA", at positions 524 to 776 of the family's 1533-position model. The record is from RNAcentral.
UACAGAGGGUGCAAGCGUUAAUCGGAAUUACUGGGCGUGAAGCGUGCGUAGACGGUUUCGUAAGUCGGGUGUGGAAUCCCCGGGCUCAACCUGGGAAUUGCAUUCGAAACUGCGAGGCUAGGGUACGGAAGAGGGAAGCGGAAUUUCUGGUGUAGCGGUGAAAUGCGUAGAGAUCAGGAGGAACAUCAGUGGCGAAAGCGGCUUCCUGGGCCAGUACCGACGUUGAGGCGCGAAAGCGUGGGGAGCAAACAGG